GGCGAACUGCUCCGUAAUACGCAGAUAACCUACCCUAUGGAGGGGGAUAACCCCGGGAAACUGGGACUAAUACCCCAUAGUCGUUGGGCGCUGGGAUGCCCCGACGACCAAAGCUACGGUGCCGUAGGAUGGGUCUGCGCCCCAUCAGGCUGUUGCUGGUGUAAAGAACCAACAAACCGAUAACGGGUACGGGCCAUGGAAGUAGGAGCCCGGAGAUGGAUUCUGAGACAUGAAUCCAGGCACUACGGUGUGCAGCAAGCGCGAAACCUUUACAAUGCAUUCACGUGCGAUAGGGGGACCUGGAGUGAUGCAGUUUACUGCAUCUUCUGCCGACUGCAAAUAGGUCGGCGAAUAAGGGCUGGGAAAUACGAGUGCCAGCCGCCGCGGUAAUACUCGAGGCCCGAGUGAUGACCACUAUUAUUGGGUCUAAAGCGCCCGUAGCCGGUUCGGCGAGUUCCUGGUGAAAUCCUCCAGCAAACUGGAGGGCGUGCUGGGAAUACUACCGGACUUGAGACUGGGAGAGGGUGGAGGUACUUAUGGGGGAGGGGUUAAAUCCUGUAAUCCCAUAGGGACAACCUGUGGCGAAGGCGUCCACCUGGAACAGGUCUGACGGUGAGGGACGAAAGCGUGGGUAGCGAUCGGGAUUAGAUACCCCGGUAGUCCACGCUGUAAACGAUGCCCGUUUGGUGUCGCGAACUUCUUGGGAGUUUGCGGUGCCGGAGUGUAGAUGUUAUACGGGCCACCUGGGGAGUACGUCCGCAAGGAUGAAACUUAAGGGAAUUGGCGGGGGAGCACACAAGGGGUGGGUACUGCGGUUCAAUUGGAUUCAACGCCGGAAAUCUCACCAGGGAAGACGGUAGUUUGACGGUCAGUCUGAUGGGCUUACCUGACAAGCCGAGAGGUGGCGCAUGGCCAUCGUCAGCUCGUACUGUGAAGCGUGCCGUUAAGUCGGUUAACGAGCGAGACCCGUAUCUCAUGUUGCAACCUGCGUCUUCGGACGGAGGGCGCUCAUGAGAGACCGCUAGUGAUAAACUAGAGGAAGGAACGGGCGACGGUAGGUCUGUAUGCCCCGAAUUUCCUGGGCUACACGCGGUACACAAUGCGCGCCACAGUGGGUUGCAACGCCGAAAGGCGGAGCUAAUCCCCUAAAAGCGCGCCUAGUUCAGAUCGGGGGCUGUAACUCGCCCUCGUGAAGCUGGAAUCCCUAGUAAGCAAACGUCAUCAUCGUUUGCUGAAUACGUCCCUGCUCCUUGCACACACCGCCCGUCAAGCCAACCGAGUGGAGCUUAAACGAGGACCGUUUCCCGCCGCAAGGCGGUCAACAGUUCGAGUUUCGGUUUCGCGAGGGGGGCUAAGUCGCCACAAGGUA
RNAcentral lists this ribosomal RNA (1369 nucleotides) under metagenome. RNAcentral describes it as "bacterial SSU rRNA". It matches the Rfam family "Archaeal small subunit ribosomal RNA". The record is from RNAcentral.